RNAcentral lists this ribosomal RNA (493 nucleotides) under Bacillus subtilis. RNAcentral describes it as "bacterial SSU rRNA". It matches the Rfam family "Bacterial small subunit ribosomal RNA", at positions 38 to 513 of the family's 1533-position model. The record is from RNAcentral. Lineage: Bacteria; Bacillati; Bacillota; Bacilli; Caryophanales; Bacillaceae.
GGCGGCGUGCCUAAUACAUGCAAGUCGAGCGGACAGAUGGGAGCUUGCUCCCUGAUGUUAGCGGCGGACGGGUGAGUAACACGUGGGUAACCUGCCUGUAAGACUGGGAUAACUCCGGGAAACCGGGGCUAAUACCGGAUGGUUGUUUGAACCGCAUGGUUCAAACAUAAAAGGUGGCUUCGGCUACCACUUACAGAUGGACCCGCGGCGCAUUAGCUAGUUGGUGAGGUAACGGCUCACCAAGGCAACGAUGCGUAGCCGACCUGAGAGGGUGAUCGGCCACACUGGGACUGAGACACGGCCCAGACUCCUACGGGAGGCAGCAGUAGGGAAUCUUCCGCAAUGGACGAAAGUCUGACGGAGCAACGCCGCGUGAGUGAUGAAGGUUUUCGGAUCGUAAAGCUCUGUUGUUAGGGAAGAACAAGUACCGUUCGAAUAGGGCGGUACCUUGACGGUACCUAACCAGAAAGCCACGGCUAACUACGUGCCAGCA